CUCGUAGGCGGUUCGUCGCGUCCGGUGUGAAAGUCCAUAGCUUAACGGUGGAUCCGCGCCGGGUACGGGCGGGCUUGAGUGCGGUAGGGGAGACUGGAAUUCCCGGUGUAACGGUGGAAUGUGUAGAUAUCGGGAAGAACACCAAUGGCGAAGGCAGGUCUCUGGGCCGUUACUGACGCUGAGGAGCGAAAGCGUGGGGAGCGAACA
This 207-nucleotide ribosomal RNA is filed under the name uncultured bacterium. RNAcentral's name for it is "partial 16S ribosomal RNA". It matches the Rfam family "Bacterial small subunit ribosomal RNA", at positions 568 to 774 of the family's 1533-position model. The record is from RNAcentral.